This 1482-nucleotide ribosomal RNA is filed under the name metagenome. Its description in RNAcentral is "bacterial SSU rRNA". It matches the Rfam family "Bacterial small subunit ribosomal RNA". The record is from RNAcentral.
AGAGUUUGAUCCUGGCUCAGAUUGAACGCUGGCGGAAUGCUUUACACAUGCAAGUCGAGCGGCAGCGCGGGGCAACCUGGCGGCGAGCGGCGAACGGGUGAGUAAUGCAUCGGAACGUACCCAUUUGUGGGGGAUAACUAUCCGGAAGGAUGGCUAAUACCGCAUAAGUCCUGAGGGAGAAAGCGGGGGAUCGCAAGACCUCGCGCGAAUGGAGCGGCCGAUGCCGGAUAGCUAGUUGGUAGGGUAAAGGCCUACCAAGGCGACGAUCCGUAGCUGGUCUGAGAGGAUGAUCAGCCACACUGGAACUGAGACACGGUCCAGACUCCUACGGGAGGCAGCAGUGGGGAAUUUUGGACAAUGGGGGCAACCCUGAUCCAGCCAUUCCGCGUGAGUGAAGAAGGCCUUCGGGUUGUAAAGCUCUUUCGGCAGGAACGAAACGGUUUGGGUUAAUACCCUGAGCUAAUGACGGUACCUGAAGAAGAAGCACCGGCUAACUACGUGCCAGCAGCCGCGGUAAUACGUAGGGUGCGAGCGUUAAUCGGAAUUACUGGGCGUAAAGCGUGCGCAGGCGGUUAUGUAAGACAGAUGUGAAAUCCCCGGGCUUAACCUGGGAACUGCGUUUGUGACUGCAUAACUUGAGUGUGGCAGAGGGGGGUGGAAUUCCACGUGUAGCAGUGAAAUGCGUAGAGAUGUGGAGGAACACCGAUGGCGAAGGCAGCCCCCUGGGUCAACACUGACGCUCAUGCACGAAAGCGUGGGUAGCAAACAGGAUUAGAUACCCUGGUAGUCCACGCCCUAAACGAUGCCAACUAGGUGUUGGGGAAGGAGACUUCCUUAGUACCGUAGCUAACGCGUGAAGUUGGCCGCCUGGGGAGUACGGUCGCAAGAUUAAAACUCAAAGGAAUUGACGGGGACCCGCACAAGCGGUGGAUGAUGUGGAUUAAUUCGAUGCAACGCGAAAAACCUUACCUACCCUUGACAUGCCAGGAACUUGGUAGAGAUACCUUGGUGCCCGAAAGGGAGCCUGGACACAGGUGCUGCAUGGCUGUCGUCAGCUCGUGUCGUGAGAUGUUGGGUUAAGUCCCGCAACGAGCGCAACCCUUGUCCUUAGUUGCCAUCAUUUAGUUGGGCACUCUAAUGAGACUGCCGGUGACAAACCGGAGGAAGGUGGGGAUGACGUCAAGUCCUCAUGGCCCUUAUGGGUAGGGCUUCACACGUCAUACAAUGGUCGGUACAGAGGGUUGCCAAGCCGCGAGGUGGAGCCAAUCCCAGAAAGCCGAUCGUAGUCCGGAUCGGAGUCUGCAACUCGACUCCGUGAAGUCGGAAUCGCUAGUAAUCGUGGAUCAGCAUGCCACGGUGAAUACGUUCCCGGGUCUUGUACACACCGCCCGUCACACCAUGGGAGUGGGUUUCACCAGAAGUAGGUAGCCUAACCGCAAGGGGGGCGCUUACCACGGUGGGAUUCAUGACUGGGGUGAAGUC